This 458-nucleotide ribosomal RNA is filed under the name Penaeus duorarum (pink shrimp). RNAcentral's name for it is "partial 16S ribosomal RNA". It matches the Rfam family "Bacterial large subunit ribosomal RNA", at positions 1910 to 2569 of the family's 2925-position model. Lineage: Eukaryota; Metazoa; Arthropoda; Malacostraca; Decapoda; Penaeidae. The record is from RNAcentral.
CACUGAUUUAUUUUAAAGGGCCGCGGUAUACUGACCGUGCGAAGGUAGCAUAAUCAUUAGUCUUUUAAUUGAAGGCUUGUAUGAAUGGUUGGACAAAAAGCAAACUGUCUCAGUUGUAAUAAUUGAAUUUAACUUUUGAGUGAAAAGGCUUAAAUAAGUUAGGGGGACGAUAAGACCCUAUAAAGCUUGACAAUAAGCCGUUUAUAUUAUAAAUUGUUAGUAUAACUUGAUUUUAAAUGGUGUUUGUUGCGUUGGGGCGACGAGAAUAUAAAAGAUAACUGUUCUUAUAAUAUUUAAUAACAGAAAUAGCUGGAAAAUUAAUGAUCCUUUCUUUAAGAUCAUAAGAUUAAGUUACUUUAGGGAUAACAGCGUAAUCUUCCUUGAGAGUUCAUAUCGACAGGAAGGGUUGCGACCUCGAUGUUGAAUUAAGGUAUCCUUAUAAUGCAGCAGUUAUAAAG